UGCAGCGACGCCGCGUGAGGGAUGACGGCUUUCGGGUUGUAACCUCUUCAGUAGGGAAGAAGCGAAAGUGACGGUACCUGCAGAGAAGCGCCGGCUAACUACGUGCCAGCAGCCGCGGUAAUACGUAGGGCGCAAGCGUUAUCCGGAAUUAUUGGGCGUAAAGAGCUCGUAGGCGGUUUGUCGCGUCUGCCGUGAAAGUCCGGGGCUCAACUCCGGAUCUGCGGUGGGUACGGGCAGACUAGAGUGAUGUAGGGGAGACUGGAAUUCCUGGUGUAGCGGUGAAAUGCGCAGAUAUCAGGAGGAACACCGAUGGCGAAGGCAGGUCUCUGGGCAUUAACUGACGCUGAGGAGCGAAAGCAUGGGGAGCGAACAGGAUUAGAUACCCUGGUAGUCCAUGCCGUAAACGUUGGGCACUAGGUGUGGGGGACAUUCCACGUUUUCCGCGCCGUAGCUAACGCAUUAAGUGCCCCGCCUGGGGAGUACGGCCGCAAGGCUAAAACUCAAAGGAAUUGACGGGGGCCCGCACAAGCGGCGGAGCAUGCGGAUUAAUUCGAUGCAACGCGAAGAACCUUACCAAGGCUUGACAUGAACCGGAAACGUCUGGAAACAGGCGCCCCACUUGUGGUCGGUUUACAGGUGGUGCAUGGUUGUCGUCAGCUCGUGUCGUGAGAUGUUGGGUUAAGUCCCGCAACGAGCGCAACCCUCGUUCCAUGUUGCCAGCGCGUAAUGGCGGGGACUCAUGGGAGACUGCCGGGGUCAACUCGGAGGAAGGUGGGGACGACGUCAAAUCAUCAUGCCCCUUAUGUCUUGGGCUUCACGCAUGCUACAAUGGCCGGUACAAAGGGUUGCGAUACUGUGAGGUGGAGCUAAUCCCAAAAAGCCGGUCUCAGUUCGGAUUGGGGUCUGCAACUCGACCCCAUGAAGUCGGAGUCGCUAGUAAUCGCAGAUCAGCAACGCUGCGGUGAAUACGUUCCCGGGCCUUGUACACACCGCCCGUCAAGUCACGAAAGUUGGUAACACCCGAAGCCGGUGGCCUAACCCCUUGUGGGAAGGAGCUUCG
This 1060-nucleotide ribosomal RNA is filed under the name Pseudarthrobacter psychrotolerans. RNAcentral's name for it is "bacterial SSU rRNA". It matches the Rfam family "Bacterial small subunit ribosomal RNA", at positions 387 to 1458 of the family's 1533-position model. The record is from RNAcentral. Lineage: Bacteria; Bacillati; Actinomycetota; Actinomycetes; Micrococcales; Micrococcaceae.